This 65-nucleotide transfer RNA is filed under the name Cherax monticola. Its description in RNAcentral is "tRNA-His". Lineage: Eukaryota; Metazoa; Arthropoda; Malacostraca; Decapoda; Parastacidae. The record is from RNAcentral.
UUUAAAUAGUUUAGGGAAAACGUCGGGUUGUGGUGCCGAAAAGAUAAGAAAAUUAUUUUAAAUCG